RNAcentral lists this transfer RNA (72 nucleotides) under Sphaerodactylus townsendi. RNAcentral's name for it is "tRNA-Ala". It matches the Rfam family "tRNA". Rfam says of the family: Transfer RNA (tRNA) molecules are approximately 80 nucleotides in length. Lineage: Eukaryota; Metazoa; Chordata; Lepidosauria; Squamata; Sphaerodactylidae. The record is from RNAcentral.
GGGGCCAUGGCUCAGAGGUUGAGCAUGUGCUUUGCAUGCAGAAAGUCACAGGUUCAAUACCCGGCGUCCCCA